GACGAACGCUGGCGGCGUGCUUAACACAUGCAAGUCGAACGGAAAGGCCCUGCUUUUGUGGGGUGCUCGAGUGGCGAACGGGUGAGUAACAUGUGAGUAACCUGCCCUUGACUUUGGGAUAACUUCAGGAAACUGGGGCUAAUACCGGAUAGGAGCUCCUGCUGCAUGGUGGGGGUUGGAAAGUUUCGGCGGUUGGGGAUGGACUCGCGGCUUAUCAGCUUGUUGGUGGGGUAGUGGCUUACCAAGGCUUUGACGGGUAGCCGGCCUGAGAGGGUGACCGGCCACAUUGGGACUGAGAGACGGCCCAGACUCCUACGGGAGGCAGCAGUGGGGAAUAUUGCACAAUGGGCGGAAGCCUGAUGCAGCAACGCCGCGUGCGGGAUGAAGGCCUUCGGGUUGUAAACCGCUUUCGCCUGUGACGAAGCGUGAGUGACGGUAAUGGGUAAAGAAGCACCGGCUAACUACGUG
Molecule: ribosomal RNA, 468 nt
Filed under: uncultured bacterium
Lineage: Bacteria
Description: partial 16S ribosomal RNA
Rfam family: Bacterial small subunit ribosomal RNA
Source: RNAcentral